Sinocyclocheilus rhinocerous is the source of this 136-nucleotide long non-coding RNA. RefSeq lists it as uncharacterized. The transcript has 2 exons. NCBI's taxonomy places the organism in Eukaryota, Metazoa, Chordata, Actinopteri, Cypriniformes, Cyprinidae. The record is from RefSeq and is a predicted model, not a curated record.
CUGGGCAGAAGCCACAGCCAAGAGAAGCAUGAAGAAAGAGCACGAGAGUGAAGAUGAGGAUGAAAGUGAAGAUCUGUUGCGAAGGACGGGUAACUUCAUCGGCUCGUCUGACAGCCUGCCGAAGGGAAUUAUUAAG